This 6330-nucleotide long non-coding RNA is filed under the name Volvox carteri. RNAcentral's name for it is "long non-coding RNA (VCAR_LNC002857)". The record is from RNAcentral. Lineage: Eukaryota; Viridiplantae; Chlorophyta; Chlorophyceae; Chlamydomonadales; Volvocaceae.
CCCCCUUUCCCUGAUACACGUAUGUCCUGCGCAUGGAGCCACUCUAAGGCGCAGCGUGCCACAACUCGCAGCCCGGCCGGCCCGCUUGCACCUUACCAAGAUGAGCUGGAGCGCUUGCAUCUGGCGAUUGUGCAGCAAGUGCGCGGGCAAGGGGUGGAGGUAGCAGUGUUUGGUUUGCCUCAGUGGGCCUUGAACUUGGCAAUCUGUCGGAGUGUCAGCAUAGCUCAGUGAUAGAGCCCCACACGGUGACAUGUCACCUCAAGGGAGGUCGUGGGUUGGAAUCCCACUGCUGACGCCCUAGCUAGGCAAGGAACGUGGUAAGAUGUAGGAGGCAGUAGAUCAAGAGCCAGUUGACCCUAUUUACAUUCUUUGGAAGCACGUAAGUUAACAGUUUACCUUCCCUUGCCACAAAGCCCCUGGGUGGUGUGCGGAGAGGUGCGCUAGAUUGUGCUGUUUGGCUGGUAGCGACAACAUGUUGAGAUACGCAUGCCGUGAUAUUUUAGAUCUGGUGCACGCAGGCUGCCUAAACACUCCUGACGUUGGGACUUUGGGCAAGGAGAGGUGGCCACCCGGUUGGCUCACGAAGACCAAGUUAGGUGUGGACCUAGGCCGGUGUCAGGCCUAUUCAUGCGGACUACCCUCCCCUUAAAGGCGACGCAGCUCAUAUUGGCAGCAAGCUGGGGGCUGUGGCUGGCUCCCGUCCGCACGAGUGAUUGUGUGAGAGUGGAAAUUAGUUACGUAGGUAGGUGUCAGGCCUAUUCAUGCGGACUACCCUCCCCUUAAAGGCGACGCAGCUCAUAUUGGCAGCAAGCUGGGGGUUGUGGCUGGCUCCCGUCCGCACGAGUGAUUGUGUGAGAGUGGAAAUUAGUUACGUAGGUAGGUGUCAGGCCUAUUCAUGCGGACUACCCUCCCCUUAAAGGCGACCCAGCUCAUAUUGGCAGCAAGCUGGGGGUUGUGGCUGGCUCCCGUCCGCACGAGUGAUUGUGUGAGAAUGGAAAUUAGUUACGUAGGUAGGUGUCAGGCCUAUUCAUGCGGACUACCCUCCCCUUAAAGGCGACCCAGCUCAUAUUGGCAGCAAGCUGGGGGUUGUGGCUGGCUCCCGUCCGCACGAGUGAUUGUGUGAGAGUGGAAAUUAGUUACGUAGGUAGGUGUCAGGCCUAUUCAUGCGGACUACCCUCCCCUUAAAGGCGACGCAGCUCAUAUUGGCAGCAAGCUGGGGGUUGUGGCUGGCUCCCGUCCGCACGAGUGAUUGUGUGAGUGGAAGUAAUUAACACAACCGAAUUACCAUCAUGACUCCUUGUAAAGCCUCCGCGUACGCAGCCUCCAUUCAUGGCGGCGGCAUCCUUCCCUCCUCGCACAUCCCCCCUCGCUCAUGUCACCUUGCAUCCUUCACCCAAGCAACCUGAAGAGAAAGCAACGCUAAUGACUUUCCUCCAAAACGCUCCACACAACAACGUGGACAUGUAUGCAACGGUUGACUUUCUCCAGAUUUAUGGAGGGUUAGGCGGUAGUGCGUGGACCCGCUGCGGGGUAAUGAUGGCGUAACUCUACGGGCGGUUUGCGACAAUUCCGGCGGGCCACUGACCGACCCAUUGGCGCUAGAUCUUCCCCCCGGGUGGCCGCUCCGCCCAGCGGAGAAGCACAAUAACAACAGAAGAAGUAACAGUUGGGGCAGCAGUAACCUUAAGGAACAAGGAUAGGCAUAUGUGGGGGGGGGUUGUUACGUCAUGCCCAUCUGAUUUCGUAGUAUUGCGUUAUAUAAGUGUGUGUGUUAUACAUGGUUGGGUGUGUUUGACCCCAUACCUGUAAAACUACCCAUACGGACCGAAGCGUUAUGUACACGCCAAGUAGUCGAAGCCGGUUCAGCAGCAAGCUAGGAGUUGCUUGCCCUCAUGGCACGGUGCGUGCUUUGUCGACCAUUGUGGAUCUACCUGAAUGGCUUUAAAAUCAAACAGAUUGCCUGCCUGCGAGCAGGGAACCUUUUUUACGGUCGGUAACUGUGAAAGGCGGUGCACGACUGGUGUGCGUGCUUCUCAUAACGAAAUAGAAUAGAUCAGCCGAGAGAUUUCCCAGGUGCGGAUAUCGACCUGCUCCGUCAAGAAACGGUCGCUGUGGGGAAUUGGGCCGUGGGAUUGAGAUUUGAUGAAAAGGUUGAAGGUGCGUCCGCCUACUUGCGCUAUAAUAACCGUCGUGGGCCUGUUUAGGAGCGGUAGCAACCGCAACACCUAGGCGCCUCCGCUUGCCUCCGCCUGUGGGGCGACGGGGCGACCGUCUGCAAUACUAAUCCUUAAGAAAGUAGUACUGCUGUGUACCGCUGUGCCACAGUACCCGCUGCAAAACGAGCCGUUUGGAGCUGUCAGUUGCCCGCCCUCACAUAUCGCAUAUGUACCUCCGAAUCUGCAAACCCACGACCCUUGGAAACGUAACAGUCAGAAAACGUUAAUAUACUGCAAAACCAAACAGGAGACUUAGUUUCCUGCGGGAUUCAUGCAGACAAACCAACCAGUGGUGUUUUUGUAUUAGUAUUGUUGAUGUGUCCGCGCCAAGAUCCUCCCGACGCUAUCCGUGGGUCAUUUGCACAUAUUUGGAUUGACAUACCUAGGAUUGUUGAACAUCCUACAGCAGCACCAUCCACCAUUACCACACUGUACUGCGCCCUAUAAACCGCAAGUCCAAGGUGGUUGAAAAUAUGACUUCUACAUCCCACCUCAUCCUUCACGCAGGCGCCUACAGCAGCAGCAGCUGCGGCGGCUGCAGCUACGUACUCCGGGACUUCGGUAAAGCUUAGUCCCAGCACCAGCUAGCUAUCUACCAUCACCUUCACCUCCGGCAGCGCCUCCACUGACACACGCCUCUUAUCAUGCAUGGACAUCGCCGAACCUGACCGUCUUAGGUGGUGCUUACAGAACUGAUGAAUGGACAAAAAGCGCGGGGCAACGACUGUCGCACUGUGUGGCCGUGAAGCGCAUAUCCAUCGAUCCCACUUGCAGUGGCAGCAUGACUUUUGAAUACGUCGGUAUCUUUGUGUAGCAGCCUAGCCAUACGAGUUUUGCCUGUCGGGACCGUCAUUUUCCAACCAUCUAGCCAAAUCACUGGGGCCUUACCACCUGCCGCAUAGCCGUUACCGCGUUCUUCACCAAGACCUUAACUUCCCCUCAGAAACAGAGGCCACCUCAGCCUCCUUACUCCCCUGCAGGCAGGCCCUCCCGCUACAUACAACAUUAGCAGCAUGUAUGUAUUCACCUGGCCAACAGCAGCCACCGCCCCGCAGCCGCAACCCGCGAAACCCGACGUGCGCGGCCGCGGCGCCGCUCCAGCACGUGCUUUCCUUAGUGGGCUGGGCUCGCUUGUGGGGUGGCGCUACCGGCUUGCGGGGGCUGGGCUCCUAAGGUCGGCUACCGACAACACCGGCUAUCUAGAGCAUGGACGUGCGUUCGCAGGUCGUCCAUGCAUUGAGAUCGUCUGGAUAGUGCAUAUGAAUCAUAACGUCCAAUUAUACAAACAUGCGCAUGUAUAAGAGCAGCGUCCUGGCGAAUGUUUGCGGAAGACGCAGCUAAUAAGCCUGGCGGACGUCGUUUGCCGUGCCGCUAGUUUGUCCGUGGCGUCGAUCUGUGAAAAGAUUAUUACAUUAAUAUUGCGAAGACUGUUGGGAGUACACGUCUAAUGGCGGGUUUGUUUUCAUUUGUCCUCUGCAGCAGGGUGUGCCCUUGUCCCUCUUUGUCUGGCCUGUUGUUUUAUGCCCAGGCAGGCAGUGGUUUGCUACACGUUGCUACACGAUCACUAACAUAUAAUAGAAUACGUAAGUCUAAUUCAUUUUUUUCCAGGAAGAAAGCUCAUCCGGGGCAGAUCCUUGCACAGUAGCUGUGCUUCAAUCGCGUCGAAGAGCCCUUACCCUGCCCAGGAAAACUUGAAGAGUUAUCAUUUACGUGCUUCAUAUCAAACCAUGUUGAAUCUAUUAGCUACAUGAGCAUAAGCUCUCUCACACAAAUUGACGUAGGUACAUAUGGAUGACAGUCUUGGACUAGAACGCAGAUCUGUUGUACUGAGCCAUCGACCUAAGCGUUUUGCCCUGAUACAAACACGAUAUAAUCAGUGCGGGUACAUUUCUGAGCAACAAGGUGACAAUGACGGAUGCCAAGUUGCGGUCCAAAUGCUGCGAUGCACCGAUGCAGCCUAAUGUACAUGGAAAAGGUAUGUUACGUUAUUCUAUAUCUGAUUUUAAAGAUGCUGCUUGUGAUACAGGAGUUCCACCAUGCCGUCGGAGCUGGGCGCUGCUGGACUCUGACGAGAAAGCUUUAUCACUUUUCCGACCGCCGGCUUUCAAAUUAUCAGUGUCAGGACGUUUCGAGUGAGCUUCGGGUUCAGGUGAGGUGCGGGAAUGUGCGCCUUCCUAAGUGGCUAUGUCCAUGCGUGGAAAGAUUAAACACGGACCCGACCUCACGCACCAUCUGGAGGCCAAUGACGAUUGUCAUUAGAUUUUUAUGUAUCUUUAGAAGUUACUGUUUUGUUGAUAACCUUGAUACAUUUAUCUUCUGCCGCGCGGCGAGAUAGACAUGCAUCGGCGAACCGCUUGGCGAACUUGCACCUGUCACCAAGACACUAAGGCGUGCCGAGCGCUAAUGUAACAUCUCAUUGCUGUGAUGCCUAAUUAUUGGACUAAUUGCCUCCCUGUGCAUGACUUGGAAGUCCAUGUCGGUAAGGAGAUCCACCUUUCCUGGCACAGCGAUUGCGGUCGGCUCGCAUUGCUCGCAGACCUCACAAGUGUAUUUUUAAUUAUACUUCUACCGUUCACGAUAAUGCGGCCAGUUAGCAUUGCUUUCGCUUCCAGCGUGCACAUCACUGCAUGACCCUCACUCAAAUGCUCCGGCCUCCCCCUUUCCCUGAUACACGUAUGUCCUGCGCAUGGAGCCACUCUGAGGCGAAGCGUGCCACAACUGGCAACCCGGCCGGCCCGCUCACACCUUACCAAGAUGAGCUGGAGCGCUUGCAUCCGGCGAUUGUGCAGCAAGUGCGCGGGCAAGGGGUGGAGGUAGUAGUGGUUGGUACGUCUCAGUGGGCCUUGAACUUGGCAAUCUGUCGGAGUGUCAGCAUAGCUCAGUGAUAGAGCCCCACACGGUGACAUGUCACCUCAAGGGAGGUCGUGGGUUGGAAUCCCACUGCUGACGCCCUAGCUAGGCAAGGAACGUGGUAAGAUGUAGGAGCCAGUAGAUCAAGAGCCAGUUGACCCUAUUUACAUUCUUUGGAAGCACGUAAGUUAACAGUUUACCUUCCCUUGCCACAAAGCCCCUGGGUGGUGUGCGGAGAGGUGCGCUAGAUUGUGCUGUUUGGCUGGUAGCGACAACAUGUUGAGAUACGCAUGCCGUGAUAUUUUGGAUCUGAUGCGCGCAGGCUGCCUAAACACUCCUCUGAUGUUGGGACUUUGGGCAACCGGCCGGGCAUGAAGACCUUUGCAUGGUGUGAAUGUUGGUAGAUGUCCGUCCCUAUCCAUGCGGACUAACUGCACCCACCCUGGAGGCGAAGCAGCUCAUAUUGGCAGCACGCUUGGGGUUGUGGCAGGCUCUUGUUCGCAGGAGUGAUUGUGUGAGAGUGGAAGUGCUGAACGUAGGUAGGUGUUGGGCCUAUUCAUGUGGACUACUGCCGCCCCGGCUGUUGCACUGCUGGUGAUGGCAGCAGGCUUUGGGGUGUGGCUGGCCACGUCUGCACGAGUGAUGGCGUGUGUGGAUGACUUCCAAGCUUAUCCAUAAUUAAACAUGCCCGAGUCAGCUGAUGAUGCACGCCCAACCAAGGUGCCCUGCAUCUCCCUCGGGAUUCGCGGCUUCUUUAUGGCAUCUGGUAAGCUCCUAUCAUGCAAGUAGUAUAGUAGUGGCGCUAUGAAAGUACCCGGGGAACUGAUGCGGAGUUUACACCUGUGCAGAGAAAUCCCCAGUCGCUUCUACUCCUGCCGCUAACGGCAAAGCUGCUGAACAUCUUUCAGUGAACAUUGACUGUAAGUUUCGAAAAGGUCGCUGCAAACUUCAAAUGUUUUGUUGACCGACAGUCUUGCCGUCGUUUUACUAUGAGAGUAGCCAGAAAACUAACCAGCAAUCGUUGUUAUAGCCAAGGUGGGCGACUGUGUUCUGCCUGAUGAGAGUGGUGAUGAGGGCAGUGUGGACAGCGAAAUCGCUGAGGCCUACUACCCUUCUGAUAACGAGGAGGUCGAGAGUGUUGCAGGUGAUGAGGAGACGGACGAUAUGACGAUGAUGAUGAUGUGGCUGGUGUGGUGGAGGCGAUUGCUGCAGAGGUGGAUGAGGAGCGGCGCCUCCUUGGCUUUGGGUAAAAUCCUUGCUGAAA